AGUGAACGCUGGCGGCAGGCCUAACACAUGCAAGUCGAGCGGAUGAAGGGAGCUUGCUCCUGGAUUCAGCGGCGGACGGGUGAGUAAUGCCUAGGAAUCUGCCUGGCAGCGGGGGAUAACGUCCGGAAACGGGCGCUCAUACCGCAUACGUCCUGACGGCGAAAGUGGGGGAGCUUCGGACCUCACGCUAUCAGGUGAGCCUAGGUCGGAUUAGCUAGUUGGUGGGGUAAAGGCCUACCAAGGCGACGAUCCGUAACUGGUCUGAGAGGAUGAUCAGUCACACUGGAACUGAGACACGGUCCAGACUCCUACGGGAGGCAGCAGUGGGGAAUAUUGGACAAUGGGCGAAAGCCUGAUCCAGCCAUGCCGCGUGUGUGAAGAAGGUCUUCGGAUUGUAAAGCACUUUAAGUUGGGAGGAAGGGCAGUAAGUUAAUACCUUGCUGUUUUGACGUUACCAACAGAAUAAGCACCGGCUAACUUCGUG
RNAcentral lists this ribosomal RNA (484 nucleotides) under uncultured bacterium. RNAcentral's name for it is "partial 16S ribosomal RNA". It matches the Rfam family "Bacterial small subunit ribosomal RNA", at positions 29 to 507 of the family's 1533-position model. The record is from RNAcentral.